UUGCCUCUCCUGUGUGGAACCUUCACAUUAUGAGAAGUUGGGGUGAGGGAUAUUGGGACCUCAUUUUUCUUGGUCUGCGGUGCCUGUGGUAGAGUCUCUGCCUUAUGAAUGAGCACCGGGUGGGAGAAUGGAACCUGAGACAUCUUGGCCAAACCCACCUGCAAUUGAGCCUCUGAGAAGCAGAGCAUAGGAAGAUGAGAAAUUCUGGUAACCAGCUUUUCCUGAAUAUUGAAGAUGCCUGUUCUCAGUGGACUGCAACCUGAUCGCUUAAGAUUAUGGUCUUAAGAUACUAGUUUAUUUUCAGGGGGGAACCGUUGAUUCGUCUGCUGGUGGAAGUAUUCCUCUCCUAGAACUGAAAUAUUAAAGCAAUAGAGCUCUGUACUGGAAAAUGGAAAUUCUGUAGGAUGAAAAGCAAAAAUUCUGCAAAUGGAUUAUUAUUAUUGUAAUAGUGAGAGGAUUGACUAUAAGUUUCCCUGUUGAUUCUGGAACAUGAUAUUCUGGCUAUUGGAGAAAUGACGAUAAGUUUCCCUGUUGAUUCUUGAAUAUAAUAUUCUGGCUAUUGGAGAAAUGGUUUGACAAUUCAAAGCAAAUAUUGCACCUUCUAAAACUGCAUCCCAACUUCACAGGGCCUUGCCUCCUAACUGGCACUUUAACUAAAGCUUCAUUAGGUCAUUCCAUGAUUUUAUCAUGCCAGCUGCUUCUGAGUGAUGGGAUGCAUAGUAAGACCAGUGAAUUCAGUGAGUGUGAGUUCCUUGAAUGGAAGCAAUGUUGUGUGGAAUGGUGCUGAUAAAUAGGGCAUUCCUUAACUCCAUGGAGAGUGGCCCUAAUAGAAGGUUUGUGAGGAGAAAGUGACAAAUCCAUAUGCAAAAUACUUUUCUAUGAAUCCAUUCAUAAUAAAAGUGACAGUGUAACCAAGCAGGUAUUGAGUGACUGACUGGUCUGUUCAGGAUAUAGUGCCAUAUCAGAGUCUCAGCAUUGGCCUUUGAUGUUGGCAAGAUAGCACUCAGUGAUUGUAGAAACAAGAUGAAUAUUGAUUAGGGGAAGUAAAGGGCUUUCCUUACACUAAUGCAUUGAAAAAUUCAUGGUUAAGAAGUAGCAGCAUCCUUGAGAAGCUCUGCUAUCCUCUUAGGCAGCAAAAGAAAAUGGGAGACGAUGCUGCCACUGAAGUUAUGGAUGCAGGAGUGGCAGAAGCCAAGGUGGGGCGUGGAGGUGGAUCUUUACAGGAAUAAGCACCAGCUUCUAAGUCAGCUGCCUCAGAAGAAGUGAUUCCAGGAUGUGGUUCAUCAUUAUCAUAAUGGUCCCAAUGAAGCAUGCCAACCUGUAUUCAUCAUCUCUUGCAAUGUGAUGUUGCUAAUGCUUCCAACAGGUUUGACAAUUUUAUUUUUCAUCCCCUUAAAAUUGGACUGGCAUCAUGUCUCUUUUUGACAAAUAUAAUGCAGCAUAUUUGGUCUCGUGUUAGUUCUACAUCCUAAGCCUUAAGAAGCCUUUCAACUCUGUUCCAACUUUCCUGGGAUACUGAGACCACCAUGCUAACCCCAUCUAGGAUGAGAAACACAUGGAGAAGAACCUCAAUUCCCUAAAUGGCAGCCAGUGUCAACUUCCAGACACGUGAACGAGACAAUCUGGAUGCUCUAGUUUCGAGUCAUCAAAUGCUUGCAGCUGCAUGAGUGAUUCCUGUCAAGACUAAUACAGAUUGUUAUCCCACUAAAU
This is a long non-coding RNA of Orcinus orca (killer whale), 1710 nucleotides long. RefSeq lists it as uncharacterized. The record is from RefSeq and is a predicted model, not a curated record. The transcript has 3 exons. NCBI's taxonomy places the organism in Eukaryota, Metazoa, Chordata, Mammalia, Artiodactyla, Delphinidae.